RNAcentral lists this ribosomal RNA (490 nucleotides) under uncultured bacterium. RNAcentral's name for it is "partial 16S ribosomal RNA". It matches the Rfam family "Bacterial small subunit ribosomal RNA", at positions 28 to 507 of the family's 1533-position model. The record is from RNAcentral.
GAUGAACGCUAGCUACAGGCUUAACACAUGCAAGUCGCGGGGCAGCAUGGGGGUUGCUUGCAAUCCCCGAUGGCGACCGGCGCACGGGUGAGUAACGCGUAUCCAACCUGCCCUUCACCACGGGAUAACCCGGCGAAAGUCGGACUAAUACCGUAUGUUGUCCAUUGACGGCAUCCGAUUUGGACGAAAGGCUUGGCGGUGAGGGAUGGGGAUGCGUCCGAUUAGCCAGACGGCGCGGUAACGGCCCACCGUGGCUACGAUCGGUAGGGGUUCUGAGAGGAAGGUCCCCCACACUGGAACUGGGACACGGUCCAGACUCCUACGGGAGGCAGCAGUGAGGAAUAUUGGUCAAUGGGCGUAAGCCUGAACCAGCCAAGUAGCGUGCAGGAUGACGGCCCUAUGGGUUGUAAACUGCUUUUAUGCGGGGAUAAAGUGGCCCACGUGUGGGCUUUUGCAGGUACCGCAUGAAUAAGGACCGGCUAAUUCCGUG